RNAcentral lists this transfer RNA (71 nucleotides) under human gut metagenome. It matches the Rfam family "tRNA". From Rfam's summary of the family: Transfer RNA (tRNA) molecules are approximately 80 nucleotides in length. Their secondary structure includes four short double-helical elements and three loops (D, anti-codon, and T loops). The record is from RNAcentral.
GGGGUUUAGCUCAGCUGGGAGAGCAUCUGCCUUACAAGCAGAGGGUCGGGGGUUCGAUCCCCUCAGUCCCC